RNAcentral lists this ribosomal RNA (490 nucleotides) under uncultured bacterium. RNAcentral's name for it is "bacterial SSU rRNA". It matches the Rfam family "Bacterial small subunit ribosomal RNA", at positions 215 to 697 of the family's 1533-position model. The record is from RNAcentral.
UCGCUAUGGGAUGGCCCCGCGGUGCAUUAGCUAGUUGGUAAGGUAACGGCUUACCAAGGCAAUGAUGCAUAGCCGAGUUGAGAGACUGAUCGGCCACAUUGGGACUGAGACACGGCCCAAACUCCUACGGGAGGCAGCAGUAGGGAAUCUUCCACAAUGGACGCAAGUCUGAUGGAGCAACGCCGCGUGAGUGAAGAAGGUUUUCGGAUCGUAAAGCUCUGUUGUUGGUGAAGAAGGAUAGAGGUAGUAACUGGCCUUUAUUUGACGGUAAUCGACCAGAAAGUCACGGCUAACUACGUGCCAGCAGCCGCGGUAAUACGUAGGUGGCAAGCGUUGUCCGGAUUUAUUGGGCGUAAAGCGAGCGCAGGCGGAAGAAUAAGUCUGAUGUGAAAGCCCUCGGCUUAACCGAGGAACUGCAUCGGAAACUGUUUUUCUUGAGUGCAGAAGAGGAGAGUGGAACUCCAUGUGUAGCGGUGGAAUGCGUAGAUAU